This 546-nucleotide ribosomal RNA is filed under the name uncultured bacterium. Its description in RNAcentral is "bacterial SSU rRNA". It matches the Rfam family "Bacterial small subunit ribosomal RNA", at positions 153 to 692 of the family's 1533-position model. The record is from RNAcentral.
GAAACUCGAGCUAAUACCGCAUACGCCCUACGGGGGAAAGCGGAGGACCUUUCGGGGCUUCGCGCUAUUGGAUGAGCCUAAGCCGGAUUAGCUAGUUGGUAGGGUAAAAGCCUACCAAGGCGACGAUCCGUAGCUGGUCUGAGAGGACGAUCAGCCACACUGGGACUGAGACACGGCCCAGACUCCUACGGGAGGCAGCAGUGGGGAAUAUUGAACAAUGGGCGAAAGCCUGAUUCAGCAAUGCCGCGUGUGUGAAGAAGGCCUGCGGGUUGUAAAGCACUUUCAGUAGAGAAGAAAAGUUUAGGGUUAAUACCCCUGGAUCUUGACGUUACCUACAGAAGAAGCUCCGGCUAACUCCGUGCCAGCAGCCGCGGUAAUACGGAGGGAGCGAGCGUUAAUCGGAAUUACUGGGCGUAAAGCGCGCGUAGGCGGCUUUGUAAGUCGGAUGUGAAAGCCCUGGGCUCAACCUGGGAAUUGCAUUCGAUACUGCAGAGCUAGAGUAUGGUAGAGGGAAGUGGAAUUUCCGGUGUAGCGGUGAAAUGCGUA